Clostridium sp. CAG:352 is the source of this 117-nucleotide non-coding RNA. Lineage: Bacteria; Bacillati; Bacillota; Clostridia; Eubacteriales; Clostridiaceae. The record is from Rfam.
GUUGGUAUUGAUGACGCUGAGGGUCCACCCGUUCCCAUGCCGAACACGGAAGUUAAGCUCAGUAGUGCCGAAGAUACUUGAUUGGUGACGAUCUGGAAAAAUAGGAAGAUGCCAACA